Molecule: ribosomal RNA, 642 nt
Filed under: uncultured Ostreococcus
Lineage: Eukaryota; Viridiplantae; Chlorophyta; Mamiellophyceae; Mamiellales
Description: bacterial SSU rRNA
Rfam family: Bacterial small subunit ribosomal RNA
Source: RNAcentral
CUGGAAACGGAUGCUAAUACCCGAUAUGCUGUGGAGUGAAAGGAAUUUCGCCUAAAGAUGAUCUUGCGUCUGAUUAGCUAGAUAGUGUGGUAAUGGCGCACUAUGGCGACGAUCAGUAGCUGGUCUGAGAGGAUGGACAGCCACAUUGGAACUGAGACACGGUCCAAACUCCUACGGGAGGCAGCAGUGGGGAAUUUUCCGCAAUGGGCGAAAGCCUGACGGAGCGACGCUGCGUGAAGGAUGACGGCCUGCGGGUUGUAAACUUCUUUUCUCGAAGAAGAAUAAAUGACGGUAUUCGAGGAAUAAGCAUCGGCUAACUCUGUGCCAGCAGCCGCGGUAAGACAGAGGAUGCAAGUGUUAUUCGGAUUGAUUGGGCGUAAAGCGUCUGUAGGCUGUAUAGAAAGUCUUUUGUUAAAUACCUCGGCUCAACCGAGAUCCAGCAAAGGAAACUUCUAUACUUGAGGUAAGUAGAGGUACAGGGAAUUCCCGGUGGAGCGGUGAAAUGCGUAGAUAUCGGGAGGAACACCAAUAUGGCGAAGGCACUGUACUGGGCUUUACCUGACGCUCAGAGACGAAAGCUAAAGGAGUGAUUAGGAUUAGAUACCCUAGUAAUUUUAGCCGUAAACGAUGAAAACUCACCCG